RNAcentral lists this ribosomal RNA (443 nucleotides) under uncultured bacterium. RNAcentral's name for it is "partial 16S ribosomal RNA". It matches the Rfam family "Bacterial small subunit ribosomal RNA", at positions 338 to 795 of the family's 1533-position model. The record is from RNAcentral.
CCUACGGGGUGCUGCAGUGGGGAAUAUUGGGCAAUGGGCGCAAGCCUGACCCAGCAACGCCGCGUGAAGGAAGAAGGCUUUCGGGUUGUAAACUUCUUUUGUCAGGGACGAAGCAAGUGACGGUACCUUACGAAUCAGCCACGGCUAACUCCGUGCCAGCCGCCGCGGUAAUACGUAGGUGGCAAGCGUUAUCCGGAUUUAUUGGGUGUAAAGGGCGUGUAGGUGGGAAUGCAAGUCAGAUGUGAAAACUAUGGGCUCAACCCAUAGCCUGCAUUUGACACUGUAUGUCUUGAGUGCUGGAGAGGCAAGCGGAAUUCCGUGUGUAGCGGUGAAAUGCGUAGAUAUACGGAGGAACACCAGUGGCGAAGGCGGAUUGCUGGACAGUAACUGACGCUGAGGCGCGAAAGCGUGGGGAGCAAACAGGAUUAGAUACCCCAGUAGUC